AGUCAUAUGCUUGUCUCAAAGAUUAAGCCAUGCAUGUCUAAGUAUAAACAACUUUAUACUGUGAAACUGCGAACGGCUCAUUAUAUCAGCAAUAAUUUAUUUGAUGGUUCCUUACUACACGGAUAACUGUAGUAAUUCUAGAGCUAAUACGUGCGUAAAAUCCCGACUCUUGCGGGGAGGGAUGUAUUUAUUAGAUAAAAAGCCAGCGCGGGUUCUGCCCGGUUUUGUGGUGAAUCAUAGUAACUUUUCGAAUCGCAUGGCUUCACGCCGGCGAUAGUUCAUUCAAAUUUCUGCCCUAUCAGCUUUCGACGGUAGUGUAGUGGACUACCGUGGCAUUAACGGGUAACGGAGAAUUAGGGUUCGAUUCCGGAGAGGGAGCCUGAGAAACGGCUACCACAUCCAAGGAAGGCAGCAGGCGCGCAAAUUACCCAAUUCUGACACAGAGAGGUAGUGACAAAAAAUAACAAUACCUGGCUUCUUUAGGUCGGGUAAUUGCAAUGAGUACAAUUUAAAUCCCUUAACGAGGAUCCAU
Molecule: ribosomal RNA, 532 nt
Filed under: uncultured eukaryote
Lineage: Eukaryota
Description: SSU rRNA
Rfam family: Eukaryotic small subunit ribosomal RNA
Source: RNAcentral